GCAUUGGUAGUGUAAUGGUUAUCAUCUUAGCCUUCCAAGCUAAGGACCCGGGUUGUGAGUGUCUCAGCAUGGUAUACGACGCCAUUCAGUAUUAACGAAAAGGCAGCGAUUCCCGGCCAAUGCA
This 124-nucleotide transfer RNA is filed under the name Phialophora macrospora. RNAcentral's name for it is "tRNA-Gly (TCC) (tRNA-Gly-TCC-1-1)". It matches the Rfam family "tRNA". From Rfam's summary of the family: Transfer RNA (tRNA) molecules are approximately 80 nucleotides in length. Their secondary structure includes four short double-helical elements and three loops (D, anti-codon, and T loops). Further hydrogen bonds mediate the characteristic L-shaped molecular structure. tRNAs have two regions of fundamental functional importance: the anti-codon, which is responsible for specific mRNA codon recognition, and the 3' end, to which the tRNAs corresponding amino acid is attached (by aminoacyl-tRNA synthetases). tRNAs cope with the degeneracy of the genetic code in two manners: having more than one tRNA (with a specific anti-codon) for a particular amino acid; and 'wobble' base-pairing, i.e. permitting non-standard base-pairing at the 3rd anti-codon position. Lineage: Eukaryota; Fungi; Ascomycota; Eurotiomycetes; Chaetothyriales; Herpotrichiellaceae. The record is from RNAcentral.